Macaca mulatta (Rhesus monkey) is the source of this 940-nucleotide non-coding RNA. NCBI's taxonomy places the organism in Eukaryota, Metazoa, Chordata, Mammalia, Primates, Cercopithecidae. The record is from RefSeq and is a predicted model, not a curated record.
GUUUACGCCAUUCUCCUGUCUCAGCCUCCCGAGUACCUGGGACUACAGGCGCCGCCACCUCGCCCGGCUAGUUUUUUGUAUUUUUAGUAGAGACAGGGUUUCACCGUGUUAGCCAGGAUGGUCUCGAUCUCCUGACCUCGUGAUCCGCCCGUCUCGGCCUCCCAAAGUGCUGGGAUUACAGGCUUGAGCCACCGCGCCCGGCCGAAUUGUAAGAUUAUACUAACAUUCCUUUGUAAAGGGCACAGUGCAAUGGUGUUCUGUGUUUAUAUUAUGGCUCAUUUGUGAUGUUGGUCCUGGUCCAAAUUCUGAGGUUGUAGAUGGAACUAAAGUCAAUGUAGUGUAAAAUAUAUUAAAAGCCAAUAAUGGCUGAUUACUGAAUUUGUUUUUUUUUUUAACACCAAUAUAAAAAAAUUAUAUUUUUCAAUGAUGGCUGCAACAAUAUCCCCCAUCACACUGUGUGACUUUGACACUCUACCUACUAAGAGAUGGUAUCAGUGACAACCCUCCCCGCCCCUUGAAACUGGGCAGGCUUGUAACCAUGGGAGAAGUGAUAAUUAUGUGACUUUUGAGGCUGGGUCGUAACAGGUAAAAUAGAUUCCCACUGGUUUUCUGGGGACACUUGCAUCUGAAACCCUACUGUGGAGUUUGAGAAAGGCCAUAUGAAGAGGCUAUGGCAGCCUGAAAGAACUAAGACACUAAGUGUUUCAACUGACAGUCCAGAUGAGGACUCAGUCUAAAACCAGUAUCAAUGGACAAAUAUAUCAGUGCAGAUGGCCCUAGAUGAUUCCAGCCCCCAGUUUUUGAGUCACCAUGACCAUCAAAUCUUCCCAGAAGAGACCCCUGACAUCAUGGAAGAAAGAAAAGCCAUCUUCAUUGUUCCGUGUCCAAAUUCCUGUCCCAUAGAAGCCAUGAAAGAUAAUAAAAUUACUGUGUUAUGUCA